Molecule: ribosomal RNA, 521 nt
Filed under: uncultured Pedobacter sp.
Lineage: Bacteria; Pseudomonadati; Bacteroidota; Sphingobacteriia; Sphingobacteriales; Sphingobacteriaceae
Description: bacterial SSU rRNA
Rfam family: Bacterial small subunit ribosomal RNA
Source: RNAcentral
CUCUGAACCAGCCAUGCCGCGUGCAGGAAGACAGCCCUCUGGGUCGUAAACUGCUUUUAUUCGGGAAUAAACCUUAUUACGUGUAAUAAGCUGAAUGUACCGAAGGAAUAAGGAUCGGCUAACUCCGUGCCAGCAGCCGCGGUAAUACGGAGGAUCCAAGCGUUAUCCGGAUUUAUUGGGUUUAAAGGGUGCGUAGGCGGCUUAUUAAGUCAGGGGUGAAAGACGGUGGCUCAACCAUCGCAGUGCCUUUGAUACUGAUGAGCUUGAAUGAACUAGAGGUAGGCGGAAUGUGACAAGUAGCGGUGAAAUGCAUAGAUAUGUCACAGAACACCGAUUGCGAAGGCAGCUUACUAUGGUUUUAUUGACGCUGAGGCACGAAAGCGUGGGGAUCAAACAGGAUUAGAUACCCUGGUAGUCCACGCCCUAAACGAUGAAUACUCGCUGUUAGCGAUAUACAGUUAGCGGCUAAGCGAAAGCGUUAAGUAUUCCACCUGGGGAGUACGCCCGCAAGGGUGAAACUC